Molecule: small RNA, 27 nt
Filed under: Bombyx mori (domestic silkworm)
Lineage: Eukaryota; Metazoa; Arthropoda; Insecta; Lepidoptera; Bombycidae
Description: ovarian small RNA-37136
Source: RNAcentral
UUCCAGUCAGUUUCCUGGUGUAGUGCA